Molecule: long non-coding RNA, 507 nt
Filed under: Camelus dromedarius (Arabian camel)
Lineage: Eukaryota; Metazoa; Chordata; Mammalia; Artiodactyla; Camelidae
Description: lncRNA (ENSCDRG00005003572.1)
Source: RNAcentral
CUCCCCCGCCGCCGCCACCCGCGCCGUCUCCGCGCGGCUGGGCUGUGGUCCACGUCCCUCGGCCCUCAACGCCAGCCCUCGGCCGGGGGUCACUGCCGUCCGUGUUUGCCGCCGCUUCUCCCGCUCCGCCACGGUGAAGCUCAACGGGGCCAGCGGGAUGGCUUUGCCCUCGGGGGGUCCUGCCCUCCAAGGACCCUGCCGACCCCGCCAUUCACUGGUUCUGCAAAAGGAUGCUCAAAAACGGAAAAGGACAUUUUACUGACGUUUUCCGCCUUAAAAAGAUGUGCACGAUUCACGUGGAUACAUUUGUAAGGAAUGUGAUUCUUGUCGAAAAUGUGCCCGUUAAGUCUACUCUCAGCAAGGAAUCUUUAUGGAUCUCUGCCGAAGGCAUUGGCCCAACCUGAAAGGACAACAAAUAUAUUCCUAUUGGUAAGACUUAUGUUUUUAAAACAUAAUUAUUGAAUAAAAAUUCCUCUUGGGAGAAAAAUUGAGGAUAAGUUAGGAAAU